RNAcentral lists this ribosomal RNA (101 nucleotides) under uncultured bacterium. RNAcentral describes it as "partial 16S ribosomal RNA". The record is from RNAcentral.
CCUUCGGGUUGUAAACCGCUUUUGUCAGGGAAGAAACGCUCCAGAUUAAUACCUUGGAGUAAUGACGGUACCUGAAGAAUAAGCACCGGCUAACUACGUGC